UGCGAUAAGCGCCGGUAAGGUGAUAUGAACCGUUAUAACCGGCGAUUUCCGAAUGGGGAAACCCAGUGUGACUCGUCACACUAUCAUUAACUGAAUCCAUAGGUUAAUGAGGCGAACCGGGGGAACUGAAACAUCUAAGUACCCCGAGGAAAAGAAAUCAACCGAGAUUCCCCCAGUAGCGGCGAGCGAACGGGGAGGAGCCCAGAGCCUGAAUCAGCAUGUGUGUUAGUGGAAGCGUCUGGAAAGGCGCGCGAUACAGGGUGACAGCCCCGUACACAAAAGCGCAUGUGCUGUGAGCUCGAUGAGUAGGGCGGGACACGUGGUAUCCUGUCUGAAUAUGGGGGGACCAUCCUCCAAGGCUAAAUACUCCUGACUGACCGAUAGUGAACCAGUACCGUGAGGGAAAGGCGAAAAGAACCCCGGCGAGGGGAGUGAAAAAGAACCUGAAACCGUGUACGUACAA
RNAcentral lists this ribosomal RNA (463 nucleotides) under Salmonella enterica subsp. enterica serovar Infantis. RNAcentral describes it as "partial 23S ribosomal RNA". It matches the Rfam family "Bacterial large subunit ribosomal RNA", at positions 67 to 569 of the family's 2925-position model. Lineage: Bacteria; Pseudomonadati; Pseudomonadota; Gammaproteobacteria; Enterobacterales; Enterobacteriaceae. The record is from RNAcentral.